RNAcentral lists this ribosomal RNA (444 nucleotides) under uncultured bacterium. RNAcentral describes it as "partial 16S ribosomal RNA". It matches the Rfam family "Bacterial small subunit ribosomal RNA", at positions 354 to 796 of the family's 1533-position model. The record is from RNAcentral.
GUAGGGAAUAUUGGGCAAUGGUCGGAAGACUGACCCAGCCAUGCCGCGUGCAGGAAGACGGCCCUCUGGGUUGUAAACUGCUUUUAUCUGGGAAGAAAAAGGCCAUGCGUGGCAAAUUGCCGGUCCCAGAUGAAUAAGCACCGGCUAACUCCGUGCCAGCAGCCGCGGUAAUACGGAGGGUGCGAGCGUUGUCCGGAUCUAUUGGGUUUAAAGGGUGCGUAGGCGGCUGAUUAAGUCAGCGGUGAAAGAUUUCGGCAUCACCGGAGGAGUGCCGUUGUUACUGGUUGGCUUGAGUGUCGGAGGGGUACAUGGAAUUGAUGGUGUAGCGGUGAAAUGCAUAGAUACCAUCAGGAACACCGAUAGCGAAGGCAUUGUACUGGCCGACAACUGACGCUGAUGCACGAAAGUGUGGGGAUCGAACAGGAUUAGAAACCCGAGUAGUCC